Cricetulus griseus (Chinese hamster) is the source of this 149-nucleotide small nuclear RNA. Its record names the gene U1. It matches the Rfam family "U1 spliceosomal RNA". From Rfam's summary of the family: U1 is a small nuclear RNA (snRNA) component of the spliceosome (involved in pre-mRNA splicing). Its 5' end forms complementary base pairs with the 5' splice junction, thus defining the 5' donor site of an intron. There are significant differences in sequence and secondary structure between metazoan and yeast U1 snRNAs, the latter being much longer (568 nucleotides as compared to 164 nucleotides in human). The record is from Ensembl. NCBI's taxonomy places the organism in Eukaryota, Metazoa, Chordata, Mammalia, Rodentia, Cricetidae.
AUGCUUUCAUGGCAUUUAGAUUUUAGAGGAGAGACUCUACAAGAGGGUGAGGCUCAUCCAUUGCCUUCCAGGUGUUCUGACCCCUGGGAGUUCCCCAACUGUGGGAAACUCAGCUGUAUAAUUUAUGGUUAUAGGGGACUGCUUCCCAC